GACGAACGCUGGCGGCGUGCUUAACACAUGCAAGUCGAGCGGUAAGGCCCUUUUGGGGGUACACGAGCGGCGAACGGGUGAGUAACACGUGGGUGACCUGCCCUCAGCUCUGGGAUAAGCCUGGGAAACUGGGUCUAAUACUGGAUAUGACUCCACGGUGCAUGUCGUGGGGUGGAAAGCCUUGUGCGGCUGAGGAUGGGCCCGCGGCCUAUCAGCUUGUUGGUGGGGUGANGGCCUACCAAGGCGACGGCGGGUAGCCGGCCUGAGAGGGCGACCGGCCACACUGGGACUGAGACACGGCCCAGACUCCUACGGGAGGCAGCAGUGGGGAAUCUUGCGCAAUGGGCGAAAGCCUGACGCAGCGACGCCGCGUGAGGGAUGACGGCCU
Molecule: ribosomal RNA, 388 nt
Filed under: uncultured bacterium
Lineage: Bacteria
Description: bacterial SSU rRNA
Rfam family: Bacterial small subunit ribosomal RNA
Source: RNAcentral